UGUCUAGUUCCCUCUAUGACGUCCGAGUAGGUGAUCACAAGCCUGUGGUUUCUACCUAGGAACAAGGUCAAAACACUAAGCCUGUGGUUUCUACCUAGCAACAAGGUCAAAACACUAAGCCUGUGGUUUCUACCUAGCAACAAGGUCAAAACACUUAGAACAUAAGCAGAGUACCCAGGAAAAACCUCAGCAUUCUCACUAGUACAUUUACACAUGUUCAAUGAGCCGUAUGGGCGCGUCCCAAACGACACCAUACAUAGUGCACUACUUUUGACCAUCAUGGGCACUAUUUAGGGAAUAGGGUACCAUUUGGGACGCAGCCUAUGAAAUCUGUCGUCAAUGAAACCACUUAAUAAAAAGGUGAAGUGAAAUAGGGAAUUAGAUACCUCCCAGAAGCUUGCUCUCACUGAAACCAUACAGUAGGAUGUUCCAGAUAAUGCCCUCAGUAUUAUUUAUGAGUCUAGUAGGAUGUUCCAGAUAAUGCCCUCAGUAUUAUUUAUGAGUCUAGUAGGAUGUUCCAGAUAAUGCCCUCAGUAUUAUUUAUGAGUCUAGUAGGAUGUUCCAGAUAAUGCCCUCAGUAUUAUUUAUGAGUCUAGUAGGAUGUUCCAGAUAAUGCCCUCAGUAUUAUUUAUGAGUCUAGUAGGAUGUUCCAGAUAAUGCCCUCAGUAUUAUUUAUGAGUCUAGUAGGAUGUUUCAGAUAAUACCCUCAGUAUUAUUUAUGAGUCUAGUAGGAUGUUCCAGAUAAUGCCCUCAGUAUUAUGUAUGAGUCUAGUAGGAUGUUUCAGAUAAUGCCCUCAGUAUUAUUUAUGAGUCUAGUAGGAUGUUUCAGAUAAUGCCCUCAGUAUUAUUUAUGAGUCUAGUAGGAUGUUCCAGAUAAUGCCCUCAGUAUUAUUUAUGAGUCUAGUAGGAUGUUCCAGAUAAUGCCCUCAGUAUUAUUUAUGAGUCUAGUAGGAUGUUCCAGAUAAUGCCCUCAGUAUUAUUUAUGAGUCUAGUAGGAUGUUCCAGAUAAUGCCCUCAGUAUUAUUUAUGAGUCUAGUAGGAUGUUUCAGAUAAUGCCCUCAGUAUUAUUUAUGAGUCUAGUAGGAUGUUCCAGAUAAUGCCCUCAGUAUUAUUUAUGAGUCUAGUAGGAUGUUCCAGAUAAUGCCCUCAGUAUUAUUUAUGAGUCUAGUAGGAUGUUCCAGAUAAUACCCUCAGUAUUAUUUAUGAGUCUAGUAGGAUGUUUCAGAUAAUGCCCUCAGUAUUAUUUAUGAGUCUAGUAGGAUGUUCCAGAUAAUGCCCUCAGUAUUAUUUAUGAGUCUAGUAGGAUGUUCCAGAUAAUGCCCUCAGUAUUAUUUAUGAGUCUAGUAGGAUGUUCCAGAUAAUACCCUCAGUAUUAUUUAUGAGUCUAGUAGGAUGUUUCAGAUAAUACCCUCAGUAUUAUUUAUGAGUCUAGUAGGAUGUUCCAGAUAAUACCCUCAGUAUUAUUUAUGAGUCUAGUAGGAUGUUUCAGAUAAUACCCUCAGUAUUAUUUAUGAGUCUGUCGUAUCAAGGGACCAUCUCAACACAUGCUGAGGUGGGAUGUUUUGAUGACCCAAUAUAAGAACAAGUGAUAGUAUUACUGACACAGCAUGAUGAACACAACUCGUACUGAAACAGAGAAAUGGCUCAGCAAUCUAAUGUCUCAUUAUGAAUAUUAAAAGGUGGACAGAAAAUCACUGGACAAAAAAAAUACAAAUACAAAUACAAAUAAUAACAA
This is a long non-coding RNA of Coregonus clupeaformis (lake whitefish), 1735 nucleotides long. RefSeq lists it as uncharacterized. The transcript has 3 exons. Lineage: Eukaryota; Metazoa; Chordata; Actinopteri; Salmoniformes; Salmonidae. The record is from RefSeq and is a predicted model, not a curated record.